GCCGCCGCCAGGGAACUCCGACUCGCUGUCGACCGAGCUUUUGGAGAUUGGUCAGGGACCUUCGCGAGCAUGUUAGGGAGUCGCUUCGGCCUCAAACUGGCAGAAGACGUCGUCGGCUGGUUGGGUGGCACGGAAUAACCACCACCGGCAGCCGCGCAGGAAGCCCUGGCCCCAUCGACUGAAGCCUUGUCCGGGUAGGCAUCUACCUUUCCUUCCCUUUAGGUUCUCGUUCUUCAGUGCGUAAUGUCGAUCCACUGUGGGUUGGGUGCCCGGGACCGCCGUGCGGGGCUUCGCCUGUGCAUGCGCCAUUGCUCUGCACGGAUGCGCCGCCACCCUGUGCCUAUGUGCCGGUUGGGAGACUCAUCGGCAUAGGGUCGUGACCCAGCCAUGGCGCCGCCAUGCUGGACGGUGUCUCUGCUAUGCGGGCCGAGGAAAAAAGAGUGGGUUGGGGGUGAAUCAGUGCGAGCCGUAGGAUGUAGAGUGUACGGCUGAGAUCGGAUCCUAGGCAUACCGUUUCGAGAUUGAAUCCAGACCCUCGAUCUAGAUCGGACCGUUAAGAAUCAGCCAUGAUACCUUUUGAUCUGGGCCGUUGUAACCAGAUCAGAGGGAGUAGAUCAGAUCGUGCCGUGGUAGAUGAUCAGCCAUAGAUGUUGAAUCCGACGGUAGUAUGGGUGUACCGAUUCAUAAUCUGGUCCGCCAGUGUUAGAUCGGACGGCUAGAAAGCCCUCAUACCCCUUCAGCUGAACAGUGUUACAAAGAAGCCCCUCGUCUUUUGUAGAAUCAAUCCGCCGUCCUCGCGGAAGUAGUCUGAGUCUGGUAGAUUUUAUAGAAUAAACUCCGACCUUCUCUGUAUUAAUGUGCCCAGUCCAGAAGCCUGAGGAAUUUCAGAAUUUAUUUUAGAAAAUGAUUUUUAAUACAAAAACAAUACUAGAAACUUGUGAAAUUCAUAUUUAAUUCAUUUUAGCUCCAAAUUAAUUUAUUCCAGUUUCAAUAAUUUUGUUUUAAUAUUAUCUAUCACCUAGUAACUCUGUUUAGUCAUGAAACCUAGAUCAAAAUUAUUCACUUGAUUUAUGCUAUACUAGGUAUUUAAUAACUUCAGAAAUUCAUAACUUAAUAAUCGUAACUCCGAAUUUAGUGGUUCUUGUUUCUACGAUCUCGUUACGCAGCGAAGAAUAUUAUUAUGCAGUUUGUUCUUAUGUUUGGUGUGAUGUUAAUUUUGCCCAUAUCAUGUUUGUUUGUAUUGCUACGUCUAGCAGCGAGGUUACGUGUCACCUGAAGAGCAAGUUGGUACCUGGAAUCUCAAGUCCCAGGCAAGUUGUGCCCUUGAUCACUUCUUUUUACCCACUCAUGUUCUAAUUAAUCAUAAUGAUCUGCAUAGGUUAAUUUUGAUGGGACCCAAUAGGUUACCCUAGUUUGUCUAUCUUUAUACCUUGUUUACCACUGAACUUUUUGGGUAGUACUUGCUAGUGCUUUAUGUGGUUUUGGGUAUGAAGAUACAUUAUUCAUGAUGACACUGUUAUUAUCUGUUUAUUAUUAUUGUUCAUGAUAAGAUCAUUAUGUUAAUUGGAACAUGGAGAACCACCCGGGAAAACAGUGCUACCACAAGGGUUUAAUGGGACGCCCUUGGCUGACUAACUAGAAAAGCUAGUGGAGGACUACCUUACCCGAAAGGGGCAAGGGCAGUAGGGGAGUGGUCAGUGUAGGGAGGUCCUCGGGUUGAUUUUGCUGCGAUGGCGGUCAGGCGAGGGAUUUCUGCACUGGAGCUUCCUAUAAACUGUAGCGGGUUUUCUGAAACUAGUGGAACUUUGUAAAGGCCUCGUAGUGUUACCCUGCCUCGCCUCCUCGGUAGAGGUGUAUGGGAUUGGCCGUCUCUUGGCAGAUGGGUAACAUGACUUGUGGGUAAAGAUGUGCAACCUCUGCAGAGUGUAAAACUGGUAUACUAGCCGUGCUCACGGUCAUGAGCAGCUCGGACACUCACAUGAUUAAAUUAUGGAACCUAAACUCAAUUUGUCAUAUGCAUUGCAUCGCAGGUGAGGUUGUUACUUUUGUUCUACUACUUAAUUGGGUUAGUAUUUACUUAUACUUAGUAAUUGCUAAUAAAAUUUUGACCAACUUUAAAAGCAAUGCUCAGCUCUAACCAUCCUCUUUGCCUCUUUGGUAAGCCUUACACUUCACAUGAGCUCCCACCUUUGGCGAGUUCAUGCACAUUAUUCCCCACAACUUGUUGAGCGAUGAACGUAUGUGAGCUCACUCUUGCUGUCUCACACCCCCCCACAGGUCAAGAACAGGUACCGCAGGAUGAGGCGCAAGGAGGAUGCUGUGGCGAUUUCGUGAGAGGUCUAGGCCGUCGUCUCCCAGUCAACUUUGGGUUGCUGGACCGUUGUCUCCUUAUAAUGUAUUUAUUUAUUUAUUUUGUACAGAACUCCUAUUAUAUAGUAAAGAUGUGGCAUUCGAUCCUGUGCCAUGAUUCAUCAUAUGUGUGAGACUUGGUCCCAGCACACCUAGUGAUUAUGUUCGCGCCCGGGUCUUGGUGUCCCGAAAUCCGGGUGUGACAGAAGUGGUAUCAGAGGAAUGUUGACUGUAGGAUGAAACCUAGAUAGAACUGGACAACCAUUCUCUACUUACCUUUGCCACUCUGAUUCUUUCUAAACUUUUCUUAAUCUUUUCUCAUCUAUUUCCGCUUUACUCUGAUUAUUCUUACCCUUUCCUUCUAAAGACAAAUGUGGAUUUCACACUUUGAAAUCCUGUGCCUAAAGUGAUUUUAGGAAUAGGAGACCUACUCUUAGGAACAAAAAAAUAAAACUAUUUUUUUGGUAUUUAUGAACUUGAAUGUUUGUUCUUAUGAUACUUGUCUGAUUUGGAUCUUUGAUUGAGUGUGAUGAGUUGUGGAGUAAUGUCCACAAUUACAUCUGUAUAUACAUAUAGGCAUAAAUAUAAAUAAAUAAAAUUCAUAAGAUAAAAAAACUAGAUUAUCCUCCAUUAAAGUGUAUCCAUUUUAAUAAAUACAUCUUAUCUUAAAGGGUUCUCUCUUAUCUUAAUAGAUCUGUCUUAUCUCGAAAAGAUUCUAUCUUAUCCUAACAGAUCUAACGGGCCUCAAAAGAUUCUACCUCAUCUUUAUGGAUUCAUCUUGCCCUAAUUAGCAUAUUUAUCCCACUCUAGAAUAACAAUCAUGAUCUAAUCCAAAGUAAUCAUAUAUUACCUAGUCUAACCUAGUUAUACCAAUCUAAUCUAGAUCCCAUCUAAUCUAAUAGGGUCCAAUCUAAAGUGAGUUACUUAAUGGACCAGUUAAUACUUGUGAAAUAGAUUAGACCAUAUCCACAUGUUUUAACCUAGUUCACACUACACUAAAUAAAGAAUGAUAGACCAACCCAACCAAUAGAGUCAUGAUGGAUUGCAUAAUCUGCUUAUCCCCACCUAACAUUAAGCAAACUUUUGACCUACAUAAUGUAGUCUAUCUCCUCCAUAUCUAUCUUAACCAUAUUCCCCAACCGAUGAUAUACACUAACAAUGAAUCAAUGAGACCAAGACUGGAGAAGAAAAGAUCAAUCUCGUCAAGGAAGGAGAGAAGUCAAACUCAACCUUCAGAUGCAUUACCACCCAGCACGGAGUUCUUCCUCACCACAAACUUUUUCACCUUUAGCUAUUCAUGCCCUAACCUAUCCAUCUUUUAUCCCACAUAAUAAGUAAUUGGAUAACUAUGCUCCCCUAAUCACCCACUAAUGACUAGAAAAAAAUGAGACUCUAGAUUUUUGAACCAAUUAUAGAUUAAGAGCUUAAAUUACCAAUCCUUCUGUAUCCCUUUUCUUACAAAUCUCGAGGACGAGAUUCCUUUUAAGGGGGGUAGGAUUUGUAAAGCCCAAAAUUUGUAUAAGGAAAAAAAUAAUAAAAUAAAUAAAUAAAUAAAUAAUGCUUUGCACUCAUCUUGAUUUUUUUGUUUGUUUGUUGCAAUUUAUGAUUGAAAUAAAAAAAUUUAAUUAACUUAGCUCUAAAUUAGACAUGAAUAUUAAAUUUAAAAUAGAAAGUAGAUAUUAGAAAUAAAAUAUAAGGUAAUAUAAUGUAUCCAUGUAUGUAUAUUUUGUUGGUUGGUUUGUACGCGGCGUCCUUUAGGUAAAGUCAUAAAAAUUAGGAUAUCACAAUUAGAUAUUUAAGAAAGUACUCCUUCCUACCCGCGUGUAGCACCUGAAAUUCUAAUUUCAAAUUUAAAUAAAAAUAUCUACUAAGAUUUAAUUAAAUUGAAUGACUUUUAUGUGGAUUGUACAUUUAAAAUAAUAUUCUUUUAAAAUAAAUAUUUUAUUUGUGCACUGCAUGCUUAACAUUAUUUUUGCAUGUGUGAAUUCAAAUUCCAUCUAAAUAAUUAGAGUUAGAUUUAAACUCUUUUCUAGAAAUUCAAAAAAAAAGUUUUUUUAUUCCUAUGGUUUGCAUGCUGAUCUCUUUACCCCAUUCAUUAGAACUGCCUUCCCUGAGUUUGUUUAGGACUUUGUUCUUUAUCUGCAUAAGCAUUGAGACCUAAACGAGAAUCCCAACGAGUAACGUGUAGGGUCCAUUCGUCGGGGUCGUCUCUUACCUAGACUCAUGAUGAAUAUUUUUGUGAGUUCGAAGACCCAAUAAACUUUAUAACUAAGGCCCUUAACAUGUGCAUGUCAAUAAUUAUACUAAAUAGGAUAAUAUAUAAAAUACAAAUAAAUAUUAAGUAUAAAUUAUUUUAUAACAUAUGAUUACUUCUAUAUUAUUGCCAUAUUCACGUGAUAACCUUGGAAUUUCCAUCCGAUGCAUGCCUAUCAUUAGAUCGGUGAGUAUUUUGUGUCUAACGCAAUAUCCAAGCUAAUAAAAUAAGUACCCUCGUUCUCACCUUGGGAUGCGUCAUUUUUAAACUAAACACCCGAUAAACCAAAUCAUGUAUGGAUGACAAUUAUCUGUUGGAUGGAUAAGCUCAUGAAUGAGCUGCAUGCGGUCGUGCAGUUAAAAGUCAUUAUUACCUACCCCUACUGCAUAUAAAAGUAGACGCCAGGGCCAUACGCAGAUCACAAAGCAUGCAAGCCGCUAGCGAAUCAUAGGGAGCAGUAGUCCCAGCCGCCGCCAGGGAACUCCGACUCGCUGUCGAUCGAGCUUUUGGAGAUUGGUCAGGGACCUUCGCGAGCAUGUUAGGGAGUCGCUUCGGCCUCAAACUGGCAGAAGACGUCGUCGGCUGGUUGGGUGGCAUGGAAUAACCACCACCGGCGGCCGCGCAGGAAGCCCUGGCCCCAUCGACUGAAGCCUCGUCCGGGUAGGCAUCUACCUUUCCUUCCCUUUAGGUUCUCGUUCUUCAGUGCGUAAUGUCGAUCCACUGUGGGUUGGGUGCCCGGGACCGCCGUGCGGGGCUUCGCCUGUGCAUGCGCCAUUGCUCUGCACGGAUGCGCCGCCACCCUGUGCCUAUGUGCCGGUUGGGAGACUCAUCGGCAUAGGGUCGUGA
This 5449-nucleotide long non-coding RNA is filed under the name Zea mays. Its description in RNAcentral is "long non-coding RNA (ZMAY_LNC002382)". Lineage: Eukaryota; Viridiplantae; Streptophyta; Magnoliopsida; Poales; Poaceae. The record is from RNAcentral.